AGGUAUUGACGGUAUUUAACCAGAAAGCCACGGCUAACUACGUGCCAGCAGCCGCGGUAAUACGUAGGUGGCAAGCGUUGUCCGGAUUUAUUGGGCGUAAAGCGAGCGCAGGCGGUUUUUUAAGUCUGAUGUGAAAGCCUUCGGCUCAACCGAAGAAGUGCAUCGGAAACUGGGAAACUUGAGUGCAGAAGAGGACAGUGGAACUCCAUGUGUAGCGGUGAAAUGCGUAGAUAUAUGGAAGAACACCAGUGGCGAAGGCGGCUGUCUGGUCUGUAACUGACGCUGAGGCUCGAAAGUAUGGGUAGCAAACAGGAUUAGAUACCCUGGUAGUCCAUACCGUAAACGAUGAAUGCUAAGUGUUGGAGGGUUUCCGCCCUUCAGUGCUGCAGCUAACGCAUUAAGCAUUCCGCCUGGGGAGUACGGCCGCAAGGCUGAAACUCAAAGGAAUUGACGGGGGCCCGCACAAGCGGUGGAGCAUGUGGUUUAAUUCGAAGCUACGCGAAGAACCUUACCAGGUCUUGACAUACUAUGCAAAUCUAAGAGAUUAGACGUUCCCUUCGGGGACAUGGAUACAGGUGGUGCAUGGUUGUCGUCAGCUCGUGUCGUGAGAUGUUGGGUUAAGUCCCGCAACGAGCGCAACCCUUAUUAUCAGUUGCCAGCAUUAAGUUGGGCACUCUGGUGAGACUGCCGGUGACAAACCGGAGGAAGGUGGGGAUGACGUCAAAUCAUCAUGCCCCUUAUGACCUGGGCUACACACGUGCUACAAUGGAUGGUACAACGAGUUGCGAACUCGCGAGAGUAAGCUAAUCUCUUAAAGCCAUUCUCAGUUCGGAUUGUAGGCUGCAACUCGCCUACAUGAAGUCGGAAUCGCUAGUAAUCGCGGAUCAGCAUGCCGCGGUGAAUACGUUCC
This 910-nucleotide ribosomal RNA is filed under the name Lactiplantibacillus plantarum. RNAcentral's name for it is "bacterial SSU rRNA". It matches the Rfam family "Bacterial small subunit ribosomal RNA", at positions 464 to 1374 of the family's 1533-position model. Lineage: Bacteria; Bacillati; Bacillota; Bacilli; Lactobacillales; Lactobacillaceae. The record is from RNAcentral.